This 442-nucleotide ribosomal RNA is filed under the name uncultured bacterium. RNAcentral describes it as "partial 16S ribosomal RNA". It matches the Rfam family "Bacterial small subunit ribosomal RNA", at positions 338 to 795 of the family's 1533-position model. The record is from RNAcentral.
CCUACGGGUGGCAGCAGUAGGGAAUCUUUCACAAUGGGCGAAAGCCUGAUGGAGCAACGCCGCGUGCAGGAUGAAGGCCUUCGGGUUGUAAACUGCUUUUAUAAGCGAGAAAUAUGACGGUAACUUAUGAAUAAGGAUCGGCUAACUCCGUGCCAGCUGCCGCGGUCAUACGUAGGAUCCGAGCAUUAUCCGGAGUGACUGGGUGUAAAGAGUUGCGUAGGUGGCAUAAUAAGUAGCUGGUGAAAUCUGGUGGCUCAACCAUUCAGACUAUUAGCUAAACUGUUAAGCUCGAGAACGUUGGGGGUAACUGGAAUUUCUAGUGUAGGAGUGAAAUCCGUAGAUAUUAGAAGGAACACCAAUAGCGUAGGCAGGUUACUGGGACGGUUCUGACACUAAGGCACGAAAGCGUAGGGAGCAAACGGGAUUAGAUACCCCUGUAGUC